Asparagus officinalis (garden asparagus) is the source of this 2831-nucleotide long non-coding RNA. RefSeq lists it as uncharacterized. NCBI's taxonomy places the organism in Eukaryota, Viridiplantae, Streptophyta, Magnoliopsida, Asparagales, Asparagaceae. The record is from RefSeq and is a predicted model, not a curated record. The transcript has 13 exons.
CACUCUAUGGUCAAAAGUUUUAGCUACAUGUUUAAAAACUAACUUUCCAACAAAUAUAACUUAUGUUUGCACUCAUUUACACAAUGUUUCGCUUGUGUAGUAUUCUUGUAGGCUUGUGCACUAACUGUCUCAACAGAACAUGUUAGGACUUACGCCAGUUCAUGUCGCGGCAGAGACGGGCAACUACGUCUCGUGAAAUAAAGACGGGUAGCUUUGACAAGUUCACAAGAUAUCCACUUCAUUGUCAACCCCGCAAACUCCAAGGAUUUGGUAUGGAAUUCCCUAUCUGUAUGUAUAUGACUUUUUGAUUAGCUAAGUGCAUUUUUGACUCUUAUAUUGUUUCUGUAUUAUUUCAUAACAUAACUUCUCAAAACUAAAAUCAUGGCAUAUUUUGAUCUGCUGACAAAGAGUUAACUGAGUUACAUGAACCCAUGCUUGCAAGGAAUCCCAAAAACGAAGAGAGGUAACUUUUACUUUAGAUGAAACAUUCCCUGUUUGCGACAAUCCGAGAAUUCUCUUCUGCAGCCUCAACUGACGCAAGCCUAGCACGAAGAGAGAUUUGUCGAUGUUAUGAUUCACCCAGCGCAUGUGUGAAUGAAAAGUGCCAGCUGCAACUUCCUCUCUUGAACUCUAGGCGGUACUUUAUUGCAGAACCAUAAUCAAGGUUGCAGAUGAACCUGUGUCAAAGCUGCUUUUCAGGCAGGAGCUGACACCAGUGAAACUGACAGAGAUGGAAAUACAGUAUCCCACUUGUGCCUGAAAGCAAGGCCUUUUCGUUGGAAUCUAAGGCUUGUGCGGCUCUCGCUCAACCAUGGUGCCAAAGUAUCUCAACAGAACCUGUUACGACUUACAACAGUUCAUCCGCGGCAGAGACAGGAAAUAAAGACCAAUAGAUUCGACAGGUUCACAAGACAUCCACUUCAUUAUCAACCCCGCAAACCAAGGAUUUGUAUUUCGUGAGAGGACUUUCAAGAAGACCAUAAUCAUGGCAUAUUUUGCGCUGCGAGCAAGGAGUUAAUUGAGUUACAUGAAUCUAUGUUUGCAAGUUAUCCCAAAAACAGAGAGAGCCUCAAACUGAUGCAAUCUUAGCACGAAGACGGAGGUUUUUUGCUGAUUCGCUGUCAUUAUUUUCCGUCACUUGUGCGAGAGGUGCCACUGCAGUCUGCAGCUUUACCCAUGGGGAGGGUGAGCUGAGUCAUGGCUCGCUUGAACCCAAAGUAGUGUCUCCUUUCAGAACCUUAACAGAAAACAGUCAAGGAUCAGAAGGGUUUUAUUGGGGGCCUCCUACUCUCUGUUGACUCAGACACCAUAGCGAUCACCUCUAAAGCAGGCAACCAUUUGCAGUCCAAAGGGUCCAAAGGGUUUGACGUCAUCACCUGCAAGCUGGAGGAGACUGUUGCAAGUGUUAUAAAGCCCAUUUUGUGAUGAUCUUUUUCAAGAAGUCUGAAAUAAAAAAAUGCAUUUAUAAAAUCAUUUUCAGAGACUUUCAGAAGGAUCAAGAUGGACAGCCUCUUGGACCAACUGCCAGAACACCUUCCUACAGAACACCUUCCUACAUGGCUAGUGAAGUUUAGGAAGUGGCUACCAAUAUUUCUGAAGAGGACACUUUUAAAGCCUUGGAAUGAUAGAUCAUAGUGAGAGAAAGAUAGAUCAUCUACUAGUGGGAGAAAAUCCAGGGAAAGGUUAAUAUUGGCUAUAUGCACUCUGAAGAGGGAGGUCUGUGUUCCAAUCCAACCACAUACUUUCUCUUUGUUCAGUAAGAGACUUGUAUAAGCUGCUGUAUGGUUUGCUUUGUCCAACCUGGUUCAUUGGCAAUAAUUCCCUGUCAUCAAAAUGUGUGCCUGUUGCUUUAAGCACAAUAUCCGAAGGACAUGCAUUAUUUUCAAUGUCAAAGUGCAGGGUUUCGAGUUCAUGGAUCAUCCUCAUACGCUGGAUAAGCUUCUGACACUUUCUGCCCACCUCUUGGAUUCCAGUUCAAGGCAUGGGCUCCAGAGUUCCAAAUGUUUCUCCUUCAACUGCUAUAUCUUUAAACCAUCACAGGUCUUUCAAUUGAUUGUGUAGAUGUGGCUCCAAUUAAGGCAGCCAUGAAAGCUAAAGAGGUUAAGAAAGGUGGAGCGUUGCCCAAGUUUGAUGGAAUCUGAAUGGAGUUAGGUAUCAAUUUGGUCCCGGGCACGAGAGUAAGUAGUUUAUACCUCUCAAUCUUUUUCAUAUUUUGCCUCCAGAUUUGAUGCGCUUUAACGUUGCGGAGAGGUUUCUUAAAGAGGCAAUCAAUUGUAGUGUAGAAAAGAACAAAAGCAUAGCGAAUCGACAAAAUAUCAAUUAUGUCAUGCUUCACACUACCCCGCAGUACUAUGGAAUUGCGUCAGGCUUCGUGAUGCUAGCAUGACACGUUCGAGGUAUCCACUGAUAAUGGAGAGCUUGCGUCAGGCUUGGUGAUGCUAGCGAUGACAUUCGAGGUGUCCACUGAUAGUGGACGAGCUUUUAACUACAUUGACUCUCAAGUCUGGGGAGCAAUUGCACUUUUGUACAGCAUAGAGGAUGUUUCCAGCUUUGGCCAAGGAUUGUUAUCUUAUGCAAAUGAAGCGAGAAGGGUAAAACUUAUCCUUUGGAUGCUCAACACGAGCGUAUGAUCACAUAGCCCUUCAGUAGUCAUUGUUGCAGUUCGAACCGAUCAAUUUUGUAUCAAAAUCAAUUGCAAAAUCUUCUUUUUAACUGUUAUUAGUUCUUGCAUUGUUAUGCCCAUGCAUUUUAAGUCUUUACCUGUGCGUGGACAAUAUAUUUAUUGGAGUUUUUUCAGGUUUUAGUGAAGUCCCACAGUUUCAACUUGUUAA